Molecule: ribosomal RNA, 253 nt
Filed under: uncultured archaeon
Lineage: Archaea
Description: partial 16S ribosomal RNA
Rfam family: Archaeal small subunit ribosomal RNA
Source: RNAcentral
UACCCGCUCCCCGAGUGGUGGGGGCGGUUAUUGGGCCUAAAGCAUCCGUAGACGGCUGGGUCAGUCCCCUGUUAAAUCGAGUGAUUCAAUCGCUGGACUGCGGGGGAUACUUCCCAGCUAGGGGGCGGGAGAGGCCGGCGGUAUUCCCGGGGUAGGGGUGAAAUCCUAUAAUCCCGGGAGGACCACCAGGGGCGCAGGCUGCCGGUGGGAUCGCCCCCGCCGGUGAGGGAUGAAAGCUGGGGGAGCGAACCGG